Mauremys reevesii (Reeves's turtle) is the source of this 2174-nucleotide long non-coding RNA. RefSeq lists it as uncharacterized. Lineage: Eukaryota; Metazoa; Chordata; Testudines; Geoemydidae. The transcript is spliced from 4 exons. The record is from RefSeq and is a predicted model, not a curated record.
AGUCAAUUACCAUUUUUCAUGCAUUUUGUUUCUCUGUGAAAAAGCACAAGCAUGGUCCUGAAGAAGAGUAUGAUGCUCCCUUAUUUCUGUCCUGUGGAGACUCAGUGUAAUCAAGAGUGACACAGCAAAACAGCGUCUUGCACUAACAAGAGCACACGGAAUCCUUCCUCCACUGCCUGUGAGGAAAGCAAACUGAAGUCGCGUUGCAGCAGUCCCUCUUACGUGAUCGACAGGCCUUUGUGGUCCAUUCGGUUCUCAGCUGUUCUCCUUAGGACUAGAAGCAACUGACUCGGUGGUGAUACAGUUUUCCCCAGACUAAACAUCACUUGGAGACUUCUGCAUUCAAAGUCAGAAUUCUAUGCCAGUGUUGCCAAAAUAUAGGACAAAAAAAGGACAGAACCUCAGAUCCCCCUCAGUACUAGGAGAAGGAACCCAGAAAUGUUGGUCCAUCACAGGUCAGAUAAGUGAGCAGCAGUCCAGUAGCUAAACGGGCAGAGCAUUUGGCAAGAUAAGGGGGAACCAGCACAGAAACAUGGGUGACAUCUCAGUGGAAUUGCAAAAGGAAAUGAGAACAAUGAUCAGUAAAUUAAAUGGAGCUGAAGAGACAAAUUCAAAGAGGAUAAUGCUGCUUAUAAGCCUUCAGGGCUGAUACAGAGAUAUGAUCUCUGAGCAAUAAAGGGAAUCAUGAGGAGACAUGAGGCAAUAGAUAUUUGUAGGGAGACCAUGAGAUUACAGGAGCUCUGUGAGAUAGCUCAUGCAGACUACGUGCCAUCCUCAAGUACCUCAGUAUGGCCCUCCUCAUACACACAGGCAGAUUCAUAAGGACACAUCACAGAACAGCCUCAACAUGUAUUAGAUUGUCCCAUUUUCUCCUCCCCAUUCUACAGUUAGACCAUAGCUAGGACCAGGAGAACAGAAACCAAAAUAUAGCACAUUUCCACUCUUCACAGUGCUUGACAGUGGAUGGACUAUGUAUGUUUUUUGUUUACAGUUGUUUUGGUCUGGUGCUGCCAGACAUAGUUAUUGCAGACAGGCUGCUUGUUUGUUGUUAAAUAAAGUUGCUUUUCUAUCUCUUUGUCAUGAUGUUAUGUGACAAAUUGAUGUUACAUGACAUUAAGAACAGUGAUACUGAGAACAGUCAUACUGGCAAUGAUAUGGAAACAAAAUGAAUGUAUUACCCUUCAAAUCAGAAAAUGAAAGCCUAACAUUCCCUAGAGCACAGGUGGCAUUUCGGCGGCAACGCCUCUGGAUGCUGCUGCUUGUCAGCGGCAUUUUGGCAGAUGCUCGUUCACCGGCCAGUACGCGGGCGCACUUAGACACCCCGGCGGGCGCCACUGCACCCACAGGCACUACGUUGGGGACCCCUGCCCGAGAAGAUACUAUAUCCUAACUAUUGUCACCUGCAGAAUCUAUUGUAUUUACACAGAAGCAUUUGAGUAACAUUGCUCAUAAAUUAAUGCAUAUUAUCCAUCAAAAUACAUGGAGACAUACAGUAACUAGAACUCAUGAAAACAAAACCAUCCCAAAACACCAUGCAAAAGCAAAUUUGAAAUGCAAACAGUACAUUAAGCAUGGUUCAAACCUCACCAUUCUCCUGGACAACAACUACCACAUCACAUACUCCCUUCAUUUCCAAAAUAAGUAUGUAGAUUACCUUUAAUAAGGGUAACAUGCCUGGUACUGAGAGUGGCAUAACAGACCUUUGGUGCAUGUCUGGCUAUAUAUAAUCAGCAACAAGGUUUGAAACCUCUUCAGCCUACAAUGUGUUAAACAAUACAUCCUUGCUUUCAUAAAUUUUAUGUAGAACGUAAGAAGUGGUUACGUACAAACACUUACUACUUCUCUCCAAAUGUAUAGCCUUGAUACACAUCCUUCUUUCUAUAUGCAGACAGAAGGAGAAACACAGUAUCUCCUAUAAACCCAGAACUGAGUAAGCCUCCAGGGUUGUGCCUAGACACAGAAACGUUCCAAAUUUAGCCUCUAAUGUAAAGACAUCCUGUGAACAACAGCUAAAGGCUAAGUCGUGAGAGAAUUUAGAACUUUUGUCCCAAAACAUGUAACAGACACAUAUAUACUGGGCCUGGACUGAUGUUCAGAGACUGAAAGCAAGUAAUAGCUCUUUGUAAAAGCACGAGGCAGAGACAAUGAAGCUAUUUAUGAUUUGAGAUUACUAA